Molecule: ribosomal RNA, 464 nt
Filed under: uncultured bacterium
Lineage: Bacteria
Description: bacterial SSU rRNA
Rfam family: Bacterial small subunit ribosomal RNA
Source: RNAcentral
CAGUAGUCACGAGUUUGACUCCUGGCUACAGAACGAACGCUGGCGGCAUGCCUAACACAUGCAAGUCGAACGAGACCUUCGGGUCUAGUGGCGCACGGGUGCGUAACGCGUGGGAAUCUGCCCUUAGGUUCGGAAUAACUUCGGGAAACUGAAGCUAAUACCGGAUGAUGACGUAAGUCCAAAGAUUUAUCGCCUAAGGAUGAGCCCGCGUUGGAUUAGCUAGUUGGUGAGGUAAAGGCUCACCAAGGCGACGAUCCAUAGCUGGUCUGAGAGGAUGAUCAGCCACACUGGGACUGAGACACGGCCCAGACUCCUACGGGAGGCAGCAGUGGGGAAUAUUGGACAAUGGGCGAAAGCCUGAUCCAGCAAUGCCGCGUGAGUGAUGGAGGCCUUAGGGUUGUAAAGCUCUUUUACCCGGGAUGAUAAUGACAGUACCGGGAGAAUAAGCUCCGGCUAACUCCGUG